UACGGAGGAUGCGAGCGUUAUCCGGAAUCAUUGGGUUUAAAGGGUGCGUAGGCUGGUAUUUAAGUCAGUGGUGAAAUUUUCGUGCUUAACAUGAGAGCUGCCAUUGAUACUGGGUACCUAGAGUGUAUUUGAUGUGGGCGGAAUGUGUUGUGUAGCGGUGAAAUGCUUAGAUAUACCACAGAACACCGAUUGCGAAGGCAGCUUACUAGCUGAAACUGACGCUGAUGCACGAAGCGUGGGUAUCAAACAGG
This 251-nucleotide ribosomal RNA is filed under the name uncultured bacterium. RNAcentral describes it as "partial 16S ribosomal RNA". It matches the Rfam family "Bacterial small subunit ribosomal RNA", at positions 524 to 776 of the family's 1533-position model. The record is from RNAcentral.